This 513-nucleotide ribosomal RNA is filed under the name uncultured bacterium. Its description in RNAcentral is "bacterial SSU rRNA". It matches the Rfam family "Bacterial small subunit ribosomal RNA", at positions 32 to 518 of the family's 1533-position model. The record is from RNAcentral.
GACGCUGCGGCGUGCCUAAUACAUGCAAGUCGAACGGUCUUUCUAUGGAAGCUUGCUUCCACUGAGAAGAUAGUGGCGAACGGGUGAGUAACACGUGGGUAACCUGCCCAUAAGAGGGGGAUAACGAUCCGGAAACGGGUGCUAAUACCGCAUAGUUUUCUUGAUCGCAUGAUCGGGAAAGGAAAGACGGCCUUUGUGCUGUCGCUUAUGGAUGGACCCGCGGCGUAUUAGUUAGUUGGUGAGGUAACGGCUCACCAAGACGAUGAUACGUAGCCGACCUGAGAGGGUGAUCGGCCACAUUGGGACUGAGACACGGCCCAAACUCCUACGGGAGGCAGCAGUAGGGAAUCUUCCGCAAUGGACGAAAGUCUGACGGAGCAACGCCGCGUGAGUGAAGAAGGUUUUCGGAAUCGUAAAACUCUGUUGUCAGAGAAGAACAAGUUGGAGAGUAACUGCUCCAGCCUUGACGGUAUCUGACCAGAAAGCCACGGCUAACUACGUGCCAGCAGCAGC